Molecule: ribosomal RNA, 468 nt
Filed under: uncultured bacterium
Lineage: Bacteria
Description: partial 16S ribosomal RNA
Rfam family: Bacterial small subunit ribosomal RNA
Source: RNAcentral
GACGAACGCUGGCGGCGUGCUUAACACAUGCAAGUCGAACGGAAAGGCCCUGCUUUUGUGGCGUGCUCGAGUGGCGAAAGGGUGAGGAACGCGUGAUUAACCUCACCUUGACUUUGGGAUAACUUCCGGAGACUAGGGCUAGUACCUGAUAUGCGCUCCUACGGCAUGGUGUGGGUUGUAAAGUUUUGGCGGUUGGGGAUGGACCCGCGGCGUAUCAGCUUGUUGGUGGGGUAUUGGCUUACCAAGGCUGUGACGGGUAGCCGGCCUGAGAGGGUGACCGGCCACAUUGGGACUGAGAUACGGCCCAGACUCCUACGGGAGGCAGCAGUGGGGAAUAUUGCACAAUGGGCGGAAGCCUGAUGCAGCAACGCCGCGUGCGGGAUGACGGCCUUCGGGUUGUAAACCGCUUUCGCCUGUGACGAAGCGUGAGUGACGGUAAUGGGUAAAGAAGCACCGGCUAACUACGUG